UACGGAGGGAGCGAGCGUUAAUCGGAAUUACUGGGCGUAAAGCGCAUGCAGGCGGUUCAUUAAGUCAGAUGUGAAAGCCCCGGGCUCAACCUGGGAAAGUCAUUUGAAACUGGUGAACUAGAGUCUUGUAGAGGGGGGUAGAAUUUCAGGUGUAGCGGUGAAAUGCGUAGAGAUCUGAAGGAAUACCAGUGGCGAAGGCGGCCCCCUGGACAAAGACUGACGCUCAGAUGCGAAAGCGUGGGGAGCAAACGGG
This 253-nucleotide ribosomal RNA is filed under the name uncultured bacterium. Its description in RNAcentral is "partial 16S ribosomal RNA". It matches the Rfam family "Bacterial small subunit ribosomal RNA", at positions 524 to 776 of the family's 1533-position model. The record is from RNAcentral.